Molecule: unclassified non-coding RNA, 302 nt
Filed under: uncultured fungus
Lineage: Eukaryota; Fungi
Description: sequence contains ITS1
Rfam family: 5.8S ribosomal RNA (bases 1-105)
Source: RNAcentral
GAAAUGCGAUAAGUAAUGUGAAUUGCAGAAUUCAGUGAAUCAUCGAAUCUUUGAACGCACAUUGCGCCCGCUAGUAUUCUAGCGGGCAUGCCUGUUCGAGCGUCAUUUCAACCCUCAAGCUCUGCUUGGUGUUGGGGUCCUACGGCUGCCGUAGGCCCUGAAAGAAAGUGGCGGGCUCGCUACAACUCCGAGCGUAGUAGAAAUACACCUCGCUAGGGAAGAGUAGUGUGCUCCAGCCGGUAAAGCCCCAAACUUUAACCCAGGUUGACCUCGGAUCAGGUAGGAAUACCCGCUGAACUUAA